RNAcentral lists this ribosomal RNA (253 nucleotides) under uncultured bacterium. RNAcentral's name for it is "partial 16S ribosomal RNA". It matches the Rfam family "Bacterial small subunit ribosomal RNA", at positions 524 to 776 of the family's 1533-position model. The record is from RNAcentral.
UACGUAGGGAGCAAGCGUUGUCCGGAAUCAUUGGGCGUAAAGCGCGCGUAGGCGGCCCCGUAAGUCCGCUGUGAAAGUCAAAGGCUCAACCUUUGAAAGCCGGUGGAUACUGUGGGGCUAGAGUCCGGAAGAGGCGAGUGGAAUUCCUGGUGUAGCGGUGGAAUGCGUAGAUAUCGUAAGGAAGACCAGUGGCGAAGGCGGGUCUCUGGACAGUUCCUGACGCUGAGGCACGAAGGUCAGGGGAGCAAACGGG